This 532-nucleotide long non-coding RNA is filed under the name Anas platyrhynchos platyrhynchos (common mallard). Its description in RNAcentral is "lncRNA (ENSAPLG00000023341.1)". Lineage: Eukaryota; Metazoa; Chordata; Aves; Anseriformes; Anatidae. The record is from RNAcentral.
AUGAAAAGGUCCUUCAGAAAAGGACCCCAGAGCUCCCAGAAUACCAGGAACUUGUGGGAGCAGAGAGCACUUCUGAAAGAAGAGAGAUGCUUUUUCAGAUACAAUUGCACUUUGGAAGAAAGGACAAGACCCAGAAGCCAAAGCAGGCAACCUGCCUGGAUUUGGGCACCUAACUCAGAUCAGGAUGAAACUUUCCAUCUCUCCAUUGGUGCUGUUUCACUUCAUAUAGUUACCACAAGAACUAAAAGAGGCAGAACAUACAGAAUACUGGCUAAUGAACAUGGACAAAAAUAACUUUUUUUAUUCCUGCCCCAAGGGAUAUAAUAGAAUAUCUAUAAUUAGAGACACUUCACAGAGAUUUUAAAAGAACAAGGCCUGAGUAACCAAAUAACUUGACCUUUGGGGAUGUGGUAGACCUGAGAUCAAGUAAAUUCUUCAGAUCAUGCAGAAAAAGAAUUUGAGUCUUUGUCCUUCAUCUCCCUAAUGAUUGCUCUAACUAUGUAACUCCCUUGGCCAUGUGCACAGUCUCUCC